This 429-nucleotide ribosomal RNA is filed under the name uncultured bacterium. RNAcentral describes it as "bacterial SSU rRNA". It matches the Rfam family "Bacterial small subunit ribosomal RNA", at positions 355 to 776 of the family's 1533-position model. The record is from RNAcentral.
UGGGGAAUAUUGGACAAUGGGGGCAACCCUGAUCCAGCCAUGCCGCGUGUGUGAAGAAGGCCUUCGGGUUGUAAAGCACUUUAAGCGGGGAGGAAGGCCUGAUGGCUAAUAUCCAUCGGGAUUGACGUUACCCGCAGAAUAAGCACCGGCAAACUUCGUGCCAGCAGCCGCGGUAAUACGAAGGGUGCGAGCGUUAAUCGGAAUUACUGGGCGUAAAGCGCGCGUAGGUGGUUAAGUAAGCGAUCUGUGAAAGCCCCGGGCUUAACCUGGGAACUGCAGGUCGAACUGCUUGGCUAGAGUAUGGUAGAGGGGUGUGGAAUUUCCUGUGUAGCGGUGAAAUGCGUAGAUAUAGGAAGGAACAUCAGUGGCGAAGGCGACACCCUGGACCGAUACUGACACUGAGGCGCGAAAGCGUGGGUAGCGAACAGG